CGCAUUUUGUGUAUUGCCAUUGUGUUAUUACCCCACCGAACGCGUACCUCUUGAGAAACAGCUGCUGGAUGGCAACACUACAUGAGGCGGCGUUUCUAUCAUUAUCAUGUGCGAAAGGCCGAUGGCUCUGCAUGACAUUUGGACCCCAGGAGAAAAAACCAAGACAGCCUGACAGGAGCAACACUAUUUUCAUAUUGUACCACAUCACAUAAAGUCAAGCUGUGCAACUCAAUGGUGGGUGCUGUGCUCUAUUCGGGGAGCUCCGGGGGAGGAAGACCUUGGAAUGAGCCCAUUUGUGGCCGAGGGAAAGUCACAAGGAUGGCGGAAAUUCAUGUCUGACGUCCUCAUCACAGUAACUCCAUUGUCGGCCGGGGACUUGAUUGGACCGGUUGACUCUGCCUCUAUCCGGGUUGCUGCUUAUGUUGGUGCAGAAGACGCAGCGGCUCAAACCAGCUGUGUUUUGGUGAACACACUCAGAGGGACCAAGAUGACGUGAAGUACAGCUCCCUCAGAUGUGUCACUUCCUUUGGUUUGGAAAGGAACCUCGGCGUCACACUCGACAGCCAACUCUCCCUGACUCCCAACAUCACUGCGACAACGCAGGUACUGAUUCAGGCUCUUGUCAUCUCCCGCCUGGACUACUGCAACUCCCUCCUGGCAGGUCUCCCCGCCACCGCCAUUCGACCUCUGCAGCUCAUCCAGAAUGCAGCAGCUCGACUGGUCUUCAACCUUCCGAAAUUCUCCCACACUACUCCACUCCUCAGCUCUCUUCACUGGCUACCGGUGGCCGCCCGCAUUUAGUUCAAAACAUUGGUGCUCACGUACCAUGCUGUGAAUGGAUCGGGUCCAGCUUACAUCCAGGACAUGGUCAAACCCUACAUCCCAACCCGCACUCUCCGCUCUGCAUCUGCAAAACUACUCGUCUCUCCCUCACUGAGAGCAAAACACUCGACCAGAUCACGACUCUUUGCUGUCCUUGCUCCGAAAUGGUGGAACGAGCUCUCUGAAGACAUCAGGACCGCAGAGAGCCUUCACAUCUUCCGCCGCAAACUAAAGACACACCUCUUCAGACUCUACAUCGACUAAAAGACUAACAAAUUGUAGCACUUAAAUUGUACUUGUAACGUCACUCAUCUAUAGCAAAUUGUAAAUUGGCUUAUUUGAGGAAAUUGCACUUUCUUGUUUCUUGUUCUCCUGAGUUUGUACCCUAUGGUUGAAUGCACUUAUUGUACGUCGCUUUGGAUAAAAGCGUCCGCUAAAUGACAUGUAAUGUAAUUAGAUCUUUCUUGAAUUUCUAUAGUGAGCAAAACCUCAAAAUCCGCCUCAAUACCCUUCAAAUGACCUGUAAACAAGUAAAAGAUUAUCCAACAGACGUACGGUUAUUGGUUGAUCAAAUUGAGCCGGCUGUGAAAAUAUACUUCUAUUGUAUUAAAGGAUUAAAAACAAUCAGUAACACUUUAAGAGUAUGAACUGUAUGCAACAACAGAAUUCUAUGUGGUAGAGUAUUUAAAGAAUGUUAAAACAGAAAUAAAAGAACGUUAAAGCCAA
Molecule: long non-coding RNA, 1548 nt
Organism: Gasterosteus aculeatus aculeatus (three-spined stickleback)
Lineage: Eukaryota; Metazoa; Chordata; Actinopteri; Perciformes; Gasterosteidae
Source: Ensembl